GGAGGCAUAGCUCAGUAGGGAGAGCGUUCGCUUCACACGCGAGAGGUCAUGGGUUCGAGCCCCCUUGUCUCCA
RNAcentral lists this transfer RNA (73 nucleotides) under Clostridiales bacterium. RNAcentral describes it as "tRNA-Val". It matches the Rfam family "tRNA". Rfam says of the family: Transfer RNA (tRNA) molecules are approximately 80 nucleotides in length. Their secondary structure includes four short double-helical elements and three loops (D, anti-codon, and T loops). Further hydrogen bonds mediate the characteristic L-shaped molecular structure. tRNAs have two regions of fundamental functional importance: the anti-codon, which is responsible for specific mRNA codon recognition, and the 3' end, to which the tRNAs corresponding amino acid is attached (by aminoacyl-tRNA synthetases). tRNAs cope with the degeneracy of the genetic code in two manners: having more than one tRNA (with a specific anti-codon) for a particular amino acid; and 'wobble' base-pairing, i.e. permitting non-standard base-pairing at the 3rd anti-codon position. Lineage: Bacteria; Bacillati; Bacillota; Clostridia; Eubacteriales. The record is from RNAcentral.